UCCUCUGGCGAUCGAGACCGCCCCGGGACGCAGGAGGAGGGGCGCGGCGGCGCCGGAAAGUUCAGCUCUGCCCAGGCGAGUGUGCCCGUGGGCCGGAGGAGGGACAGAGGCAGGUCGGCCUGUCUGCCUGGACGAGGACCUGGGCGCCAGGCAGCCCCGGAAGGGCCUGGAUGAGGCUGCUGGACAGGGCAGCGGGGCACCCUCCUCCCGGAGCCCACGCUUCUGGUCUGAGGCUCGGAUCCCCACUGCCUCCUGCGCGCGGAGGAGGCGAGAAGCGCCCGGAGACGGGGGCCACAGACGGCACCCCGCAGGCUGCCAUUCCUUCAACCAAGAUGUAGAGAACGCCGUGGACAAAAGCUUAAAAAAAAUUCUGAAACCUCUGCCCGUGGAAGUCAACAUUUUUGCGGAGCAGAGAGCCCAGGCACAAAAUAAGAAGGCGGAAGAGACGGACUGGGGGGGGUAGGGGGACUGCGGCGGGGAAGAGCAGGGAGGGCGGCGGGAGGGCAGGUAGUGCGGCGGCGAGGGCGCAGGAAGCCCGAAGCCGGGCGGUUUCCCUCUCCCAGGUCAAGCUGAGAGAUGGGGGUUGGGGGGAUUUAAAAUCGCGCGCCUGGCAGGGGCGGGACGGCGGCCACCUGCCCUCCGGCGGGAAGGGCUGGGCAGGGCCCGCGGCGCGCAGGGUGGAGGCACCAACGGUCAGCACACAGGUGAGGUGGGGCGCGUAAUCCCAUCUGAGCCGGACUCUUUAGGACGAGUCCCGUCCCUGGAGCCAGAAAACCCGGUCCAGCGCCAGCGUGGACGUGCGCUUCCCGGAACGCGCUCAGGGACGCCUGCUAGGACCAGCGAGGCUGGAGGGGUCGCGAUGUUGGGGGCUGAGGUUCCUCUCCCCCGGCCGGACGGCUGCUGGUAGGGGACCGCAUCGCCCGGCAGGUGAGGAGGGCGCAGGUGAGCCGGGCGGGCGGGCUGCGGGCAGCGCCACCUCCUUCCGGAGGCCCUCCCUGAUGGACCGGCCGGGCUCCGUGCGCCUCUGGACCUGCGGCUGAGCUCCGGGGCUGCGCCGCGCUGAUUAGCUGACGCCGGGCCAAGCGCUGCACCCCCGGGCCGGACGCACCUGAAUGCCGCCGGAUUGCGGGGAGGGGAACGGCCCCCGGAUACCGCGUGGAGGCUGUGGGAGGAUGGGAAUGGGUCCUGGAGGAGCAGAGCCUCCGAAAUUAAGGUCUCCCAAGAGCGCGGCCGGUCAUCCGCUGCGGCGAAGGGAAGGUGCCCCGUCGGUGGGUCCAGACCCGGCAGCCCCCAGUGCCCCCCGGGGGCGGUGGGAGAGGGGCCGACACUGCAGGGCCCGCCGUGCUGUGGCCGAGGGGGCAGGUCCAGGCUCUGCUUCCCGGGCAGACGCCAGAGACCCCCAGCAAGCCAAGUGCUGCGGGCAGGUCCCCCGAGAGAGGGGACUCCGCGUGGAGGGCACAGCCAGGCAGGGGGCAGGAAUGCAGCUGCGCCAGAAGGGGUGGCCGCGGGGGAGGGCGCCAGGACCAGCCCAGGAACCUCGGAGACUACGGGAGACAACGGUAAGCGGUGGCUGGUUCAGAUCCCAGCCCCGGAGCUGUGUGACCUCAGCAAGUUCCUUAGCCCCUUGGUGCCCGCAUCCCCUGACCUGUAACAUAUACGUGAAUGCGGGGUGGUUGUGAGUGAACACACAGCACACCGGCACAUGGGUCACGACACUCAGAGGAGUUUAGAUGAAGAAACAGAAAAACCCUUGGGAAGUUUCCUGUAGUCAAAGGAAGGUUUCAUUUUCCCCCUCAACCGUGACAGUUUCUUGGACCAGCAGGAUAUGCUUUUGUUCUAGGGGUGUGGAGAGAAGGCCCCUUGGCAGUGUCCAGGGCCAACUGGGAACCAAGCAGGAAUCGUAUUUGUGCAGCCUGGGGUUUGAGGCUCUGGGUACAAGUCAUAGUGCUUAAGCAGGAAGCAGCUGCCGGAUGCUCCCAGCCCCAGACCGCGGGGAUCUUCUGAUCUCUGCCUUGAUGCACCUCCAGGCCCCGGUCCCUUUGGGGUCUGGCACAGCAACCUGCGUUUGACAGCAUGGGCAUCGGCUGAUGCUGAGAGCUUCACUCUUGGUCCGAGGAAGAUCUUUUCUCUUCGGGUGUACAGUCAUAUGUUCAUACGUUUGGUACAGUCAUAUGUAUCAAAAGGAUACAUUCCUUCUGAGAAAUGCGUCCUUAGGUGAUUUUGUCCUUGUGUGAACACAGAGUGCACACACCGACCCUGGUGGCCCAGCCCGCUGCACGCGGAGGCUGUAUGUCACAGCCUGCUGCUCCCGGGCCACAAGCCUACAUGGCAGGUGACUGUGCUGAACAGCGUAGGCAGCUGUGACUCACUGGUAUUUGUGUAUCUAAAGCCAUCUAAACAUAGAACAGGUGCAGUAAAAAUACCGCGUUGUGA
This is a long non-coding RNA of Macaca mulatta (Rhesus monkey), 2433 nucleotides long. RefSeq lists it as uncharacterized. Lineage: Eukaryota; Metazoa; Chordata; Mammalia; Primates; Cercopithecidae. The record is from RefSeq and is a predicted model, not a curated record.